AUGCCUGCUAUUGUAAAAAAGUCAACAGCAGGUCUGAAACGACACAUGAACCAGAGGGUUGUGCACCUUUGUCCAUUUUUUACUGGUUCUAAUCCGACACUCAUAUAUUCCUGUAUCGUUGAUGUUGACAUUCUUCAGAGUCACAGAAACAUCUCCGUUUUUCAUAGACGGGUCUGUCAGCUCCACUCGGCCUUUAAAACGCACAUGCUGGUAGUUUUCGGAUGUGCGCCCGUUUCGGUAGAAGAAGACGUAUCCGUCUCUCUUAAUCUCAGUUCCAGUAAGAUAGUGGUGGGGGAACUCCAGACAAGAUUAAAGACCUGGCAAAUAACAAUUUCUGUCUCCAGCUCCGAGGAUUUUCUCCACCUGUAUACUCCUACGAGAGCACUGGGAUCAUCAGGCCAAUUGCUCUUGGUGCAACCUAGGUUACGGCUAAAGACCAGAGGUCCUCUGGAACAAUCUCCCCGAAGCUAUUCGCACGUCCCGUUUCCUUUCCGCUGCAAACAAGCUGCUAUUACCCAUAUGGAAAAGAUAUAUAUAAAUCUUAUAAAGUUUGUAUCUGUCUUGUGUGAAACUUGUAUGAAAAGCAUACAAGAGUGAAAACAGAUAUAAGAUCCCUUGAAAAAUUAUAUAAAUGAAACUUGUAUGUUUUGGAUACUUACUAAAACAGUAUAUGAAAGUAAUGAGAAAGUGGCCACUUUCAUGAGUAAAUCAUAUAAGUUUUUACUAUUUCUUUUCCAUAUGGGUAAUGUUUACCUUUGAACAGCUGUUAAAAAAAAAAAACGUGCUCAAAAAAAUUGUGAGUCACAGCAUUUGGCAGACUGCCAGCAGCUUUUUAAUCUACUCACCUUCUAAUGCCGCAGUCUCAAAAGUCAGAAGAAGAAGAAGAAGAAUGUGAGACAUUUCUGUUGAAUAACUCACAACUGACCCUCCUGAAGCUGCUGGAAACUUGAUUUGUGUAAAUCUGGUGUCGUGCCAAGCAGUCUGAGGCAAGGGGCAGUCUGCUGCGUUCAGGGACACACCCACCUGAACUACAUCAGCCGUCACAGCGUGGUUUCAACCCUGAAGCUGCACUCAAUGUUUCUCUCUCUUGUUUUUGUUGUUUUUGUAGGAGAAAGCGCAAAGUGCGCACGGGAAAGUGCCUCGAGCCCACAUUCACGACACCCUAAAUGAUCAAAAAAUACAAAAAUGAUGUUUUGUAUUGUUUAAUUGUUGUUUUUUUAAAUUUAUUAUUCCACUGUAGAGGCUGUAGAAAUAAUAUCUGCUUUCCAUCUGUGUAUUUUUGUAAAUAUCUUGUGUAAUGACAAUGAACCUUAUUGAAUCUUCAGUGUAAAUCAGUAACCAGCAGUGAGAGGAUGGAUGCCAGAUUAUCUUACCUGCCAUUCAACAUUUAGGCAACAAAGUUAACUUAUAAUGGCUCAAACAGAGCUCACUGGCUGCCCUCUAUUGUUCGCCAGCGGUCACUGCAGGUUUAAUUCUUACUCAUAAUGAUCAAAACGUUUAACUAACACCGCACAAGAUGAACUGGCAUGUAAUAAACAGUCGUCGGCAGCAGUUUUACAACCUGAAAAUUAAAAACCUGUCAAAAUGAUGCAUUCAGGCAAGGAGGAAAAAGAGCUCACUCUCCAGGCUACACGAAUGACAUCAGAGGAUACCUGCUGUUUACUCUUUAAGUGUUCACUUUUAAAAGGCUUCACUUAAAAUCAAGCUCUUCUACAUGUGUGGUAGUAGAGAAAAAAAUAUGAACAGUCGGGAUGUCUCGGAUUCUGGGCGUGGAGUGAAACGAACUCACCUGUUAACUGUGUUUUGCUUCCUGGGAUAAAACCGCCCCUUCGCAAUCAUGUGUGCGGACGACUGUCACACGGACAUCCAUGAGGGAAAAAAGGAAUGAAAAGCAAAACACUCAGUUUAAAUCAGUGACUGUAGAAAACAUGGAAAUUGUCCAUGUUCCACUGUUUAAAAAUUGAUAACAAAACCCUAAGAAGUGCUGAAUCAUUCAAUAAUACAGACUAUUAGAAUAACAGGUGUGUCGCAUCGGUAACUAGCUAGCAACAAGCCCCCAACACAUUGCAUAUGCUAGCGGCUAAUCUAGCAAACAAAUUAAUGACAGAGUGAUUUUAGAUGUUUUAGAACUAUAAGAUGAUAAACUGUGUGUCUUUUUCAUAACAGUGACAUGGUUGUAUUUACCGUAAUUGAACGAGUUGUCAAGUGCGGUAAACCCAUCAACAAAUAAACUGGAGCAGCCGGGGGUUAAAUAAAAAGUGUAGCGGGGCGUGUUUACAGGCAUGUCCGGCGGGAGCGUGACGCAGUCGCUCCACCUCAAGUCACUACUGAGCAGAAAUGCAAGAUGGCAGCCUCCACAAGCGGGGUAUUUUGGCUUCAUUUUUGCACAAUGGGAGGAGGUGCUGUCGUGUCGUCCAUGUUUUCUACAGUCAUUGGUUGUGAUGGUCACUGUAGUGGCUAUAUUAAUUUCUUAAGUUCUCUCCUUAUCUUAUACUUAAUGGGUUUGUUAAAAAUCACUACCAUUUCAGCUUGUUCGUGGCCAAAAGUGGCCACCAACAGAUUAGGUCUGUAAUUUUUAUUAUUUUUAUGUUGUUGUUGUUUUUGCCAUUUGUUCUGCAUAAAAAAAGCUUUUAACUAACUUCAGUUCUUUUCAUAAAUAUAAAAUAGUUUUUACUUUUUAAAUUUUUAAAUUUUUAACCAGUUUAUUUGUCCACUGCACUAGCUUUAAGACAACCUCAAAUCUCACAAUUUUAUAUAAUUGCAGUACUACUGGAAUUUCAUGUAUUAUUAAUAGUAGAGUCUGGGACAUGUAAUUGAUUCACAUCAACAUUGAUUAUAAUGCAUUGUUAUUUUUGUAGAGAGCAAAAACAUAAAAACUCCCUCUCAGCUUGUUUGUGGCCAAAAAUGGCCACCCCCUGUUUACUUUUACAAAAUGCUAUAAAAUUAAUAUAUUAAAAAAAAAUCCACUUUCAUUGACUUAAUUUUUUAAAUUAGUAUCAGUGCUGUUCAUGAAAAUCAAAAUUUCAUUCAAAUUCAGAAUUUUAACCCUUUAAAUACCAGUUAAA
This 3065-nucleotide long non-coding RNA is filed under the name Oreochromis niloticus (Nile tilapia). Its description in RNAcentral is "lncRNA (ENSONIG00000027306.1)". The record is from RNAcentral. Lineage: Eukaryota; Metazoa; Chordata; Actinopteri; Cichliformes; Cichlidae.